AUUAGUUUCAAUAUUCCUAGCAUUAUUAUGAAAUAAUAAAUGAUCAAACCCACAAAAUAUUGCUGUGUGUAGUCUUUGCCUGUCAGCCCAUGACAGGCUUUUUCUAUU
Molecule: non-coding RNA, 108 nt
Filed under: Arsenophonus endosymbiont of Bemisia tabaci Q2
Lineage: Bacteria; Pseudomonadati; Pseudomonadota; Gammaproteobacteria; Enterobacterales; Morganellaceae
Source: RNAcentral